UCUCCUUCUAUCUCUCUUUCCCUCUCUAUUAAUUUUCAGUUUCCCGUAGACAUAUGGUUCCUCUUUUCCUCUCUAGCAUCUAGAUCUGAAUUUAUACAAUCAUAGACACACUUUAAAGACCCUUCCGAUGCAAUGGCAGACUUCAAGGAAAAGCGAUGGUGCUUCUACUUCAGUGGAUUAGAGUGAAUGGGCAUCUCAGUUGGAGUAGAGAAAGGGGUUAACUUCUUAAGCCAAGUUCGUUUAAGUCACGAGGGAGAUGGGCCGAAAGUGGCAAAGCGUUUAAUCGAGGUGUAUUUUGCACUAUUUAAGGUAUUGAUUUCUGAUGCCAAUAGGGAGCAUGGGACGAACAAAUGCAGUAAAGAAAAAGCUAGAAAAAUUUCUAGUUCAAAAUGUAAUCCAAAGAAUACUCCUCCAGAAUCUCACGUUGAGAUGGAUUCCCGGUUAUUAACAGCUCUUUUAACAGGUGUGAAUAGAGCAUUUCCUUUUGUUUCUAGCGAUGAAUCUGACAAGAUUAUUGAAACCCAGACGCCAAUCUUAUUUCAGCUGGUUCAUUCUAGGAGCUUUAAUGUGGGAGUUCAAGCAUUAAUGCUUCUUGACAAGAUCUCUACCAGAAAUCAAAUUGUUAGUGAUAGAUUCUACCGAGCCUUAUAUUCAAAACUCUUGCUACCAACUGCCAUGAACUCUUCAAAGAGGAAAUAUUUAUUGGGCUACUUCUAAGGGCGAUGAAAAAUGACAUCAAUCUAAGGAGGGUCGCUGCUUUCUCUAAGCGUUUGUUACAGGUUGAUGGUGGAUUGUAGUAAACCUGGCUAUGAAGCUCUUAGAAGCUACUUCGAUUAUGGACUUCGCCAAUUCAUGCAAACAUGAUACUCAUUAUAUAUCGGCAGAGGGUCUAUCUUAACAUUUGUUAUCCCUGGCAAUUUUGGUUGUACAUAUUAAAGCCUAA
This is an RNA transcript of Coffea eugenioides, 943 nucleotides long. RefSeq lists it as uncharacterized. The record is from RefSeq and is a predicted model, not a curated record. Lineage: Eukaryota; Viridiplantae; Streptophyta; Magnoliopsida; Gentianales; Rubiaceae. The transcript is spliced from 8 exons.